This 752-nucleotide ribosomal RNA is filed under the name uncultured Staphylococcus sp. RNAcentral describes it as "bacterial SSU rRNA". It matches the Rfam family "Bacterial small subunit ribosomal RNA", at positions 45 to 779 of the family's 1533-position model. The record is from RNAcentral. Lineage: Bacteria; Bacillati; Bacillota; Bacilli; Caryophanales; Staphylococcaceae.
UGCCUAAUACAUGCAAGUCGAGCGAACGGACGAGAAGCUUGCUUCUCUGAUGUUAGCGGCGGACGGGUGAGUAACACGUGGAUAACCUACCUAUAAGACUGGGAUAACUUCGGGAAACCGGAGCUAAUACCGGAUAAUAUUUUGAACCGCAUGGUUCAAAAGUGAAAGACGGUCUUGCUGUCACUUAUAGAUGGAUCCGCGCUGCAUUAGCUAGUUGGUAAGGUAACGGCUUACCAAGGCAACGAUGCAUAGCCGACCUGAGAGGGUGAUCGGCCACACUGGAACUGAGACACGGUCCAGACUCCUACGGGAGGCAGCAGUAGGGAAUCUUCCGCAAUGGGCGAAAGCCUGACGGAGCAACGCCGCGUGAGUGAUGAAGGUCUUCGGAUCGUAAAACUCUGUUAUUAGGGAAGAACAUAUGUGUAAGUAACUGUGCACAUCUUGACGGUACCUAUUCAGAAAGCCACGGCUAACUACGUGCCAGCAGCCGCGGUAAUACGUAGGUGGCAAGCGUUAUCCGGAAUUAUUGGGCGUAAAGCGCGCGUAGGCGGUUUUUUAAGUCUGAUGUGAAAGCCCACGGCUCAACCGUGGAGGGUCAUUGGAAACUGGAAAACUUGAGUGCAGAAGAGGAAAGUGGAAUUCCAUGUGUAGCGGUGAAAUGCGCAGAGAUAUGGAGGAACACCAGUGGCGAAGGCGACUUUCUGGUCUGUAACUGACGCUGAUGUGCGAAAGCGUGGGGAUCAAACAGGAUU